UACGUAGGGGGCAAGCGUUGUCCGGAUUUAUUGGGCGUAAAGAGCGUGUAGGCGGCUAGAUAGGUCCGUUGUGAAAACUCGAGGCUCAACCUCGAGACGUCGAUGGAAACCAUUUGGCUAGAGUCCGGAAGAGGAGAGUGGAAUUCCUGGUGUAGCGGUGAAAUGCGCAGAUAUCAGGAAGAACACCCGUGGCGAAAGCGGCUCUCUGGAACGGUACUGACGCUGAGACGCGAAAGCGUGGGGAGCGAACAGG
This 253-nucleotide ribosomal RNA is filed under the name uncultured bacterium. Its description in RNAcentral is "partial 16S ribosomal RNA". It matches the Rfam family "Bacterial small subunit ribosomal RNA", at positions 524 to 776 of the family's 1533-position model. The record is from RNAcentral.